Molecule: long non-coding RNA, 155 nt
Organism: Rhodamnia argentea
Lineage: Eukaryota; Viridiplantae; Streptophyta; Magnoliopsida; Myrtales; Myrtaceae
Exons: 2
Source: RefSeq, a predicted model, not a curated record
AGAGAGAGAGAGAGAGAGAGAGAGAGAGAGAGAGAGAGAGAGAGAGAGAGAGAGAGAGAGAGAGCUUGUGGAGACCAAACCAGAGUCAAGCCCGCUCGUUCAUAUUGCUUGGAUUCAAUGAGUUCCCAACUCAGCAAGCCAAACUUGAAGUCAAA